GCCUACGGGGGGCAGCAGUAGGGAAUUUUCGUCAAUGGGCGCAAGCCUGAACGAGCAAUGCCGCGUGAACGAGGAAGGUCUUCGGAUCGUAAAGUUCUGUUGAAGGGGAAAAAGAGCGGAGAGAGGAAAUGGUCUCCGAUUGAUAUUACCCUUCGAGGAAGUCACGGCUAACUACGUGCCAGCAGCCGCGGUAAUACGUAGGUGGCGAGCGUUAUCCGGAAUGAUUGGGCGUCAAGGGUGCGUAGGCGGCCUGCUAAGUCUGGAGUGAAAGGUACCGGCUCAACCGGUACAGGCUCUGGAAACUG
This 305-nucleotide ribosomal RNA is filed under the name uncultured bacterium. Its description in RNAcentral is "bacterial SSU rRNA". It matches the Rfam family "Bacterial small subunit ribosomal RNA", at positions 337 to 635 of the family's 1533-position model. The record is from RNAcentral.